ACUGCAUGAUAAGUAUUACAAGUGAUUAGCACUAUAAACCAAAUUAAUCCAAACAUCUUCCAUGUUCCAGGAGUGAACAAAUAGCGGAAUACUAUUCAAACCGAAACAAUACGAAGCACAAAAAGAAGCUAAGGCAUGAUAGAAAUGAACUGCUGACUUUGAAUUAGUACAAACCAAUCAACUCAUAAGCAAAUAAUGAACAAGAAAAGCUUAAACAUUUGAAAUGCAAAGCUAAGAAUCGAAUUAAGAGCAGGACUAUGAAGAAAAGUGAUCUUAAAAUGUGAGCUCGGAACUUCGAAUAAACCUGAACAACGAUCCAGCCACUUGAGAAUA
RNAcentral lists this long non-coding RNA (333 nucleotides) under Solanum tuberosum (potato). Its description in RNAcentral is "long non-coding RNA (STUB_LNC003996)". Lineage: Eukaryota; Viridiplantae; Streptophyta; Magnoliopsida; Solanales; Solanaceae. The record is from RNAcentral.